This is a long non-coding RNA of Oncorhynchus kisutch (coho salmon), 1196 nucleotides long. RefSeq lists it as uncharacterized. The transcript is spliced from 2 exons. The record is from RefSeq and is a predicted model, not a curated record. Lineage: Eukaryota; Metazoa; Chordata; Actinopteri; Salmoniformes; Salmonidae.
GAGGCUAUUUGUGUGUGGAAAACCAUACAGUUAGCCAUUGUUAGCAAUUAGCUAGAGUUACGUAGCUCUAUCAACCAAUUCCUUUCUCCAACGUGAAUUAAAGACCCCCUGCGGCUCUGGGGCCGGGGGCCGAGGGUGGAACGGCUCGUGACAAUACUCGCUGCAACUCCUCCGCUGAGAAGUCUUCCAGUCCCAGGAACCAAAAUACAAGUCUGUAUCAUGUGAGAAUGUGAGCAUACCGCAUACCUAGAUGCGCAACUGAGGGACUUAGUAAUACAUUGAAAAAAAACUCUUACCCCAGGACACUUCACAGGAUGAUAAUAAAAUAAUCAGCUAAAGAUUUGUUCCCCUGUGUACAUCUCAACCCACAAUUUCUCCCUGUUGUGGACACUCAUAUGUCUGAUAAGGUUACUCAGGAAAGAGAAGCUCUUGUAACACAGCUUACACUUGAAGGGCCUCUCCUUGAUGUGAAUGGUCUGGUGCUUCGUCACAUAGUUCACCUGGGAAAAGUGCUUUCCACACGUGGGGCAGUUGUUCACCACUUCUUGUGGUGACACCCAUCUGUAUUGGUGGGGUAACCCUGAGGUAACUGAGGAAGGCUAGAGCCAGGUCCAGGCCUUCUAUGAACCCAGUCACCAGGCAUUAGACAAGACCCUGAAGGAGAAGACAGACUUCCUGAUAGACUACCACCAGGGGGAUCUUCCACCACGAUCUGAAGGCUGAAGCCCAGGGUGACCUGCUCUGUUCGUCAUGGAUACUGAGGUGUUUGUUUGUUCGUAUCAUAGGAACGGGAGGGACUAUCUCUAUCAGCUCCGGGACCUGCUCCAUCCCUGCACUGAGACUGUGAAGAGAAGGGUCUGUUCUGCAGACUGGAUCCCUGACUGGAACCUCUGUCUCUCUGAUGACGACCAAGACUGAAGAUGUUCAGUCUACCUGUCCACUGGUUGUGUUCUGUGUGGUGGUGAUGGAGAGUGUCUGUAUCUCGUAGUUCGGUCCUGGUUCCGACUCCGGAAGGAACAGCGACGACUCCUGAUCCGGGGCCAUUGUUUGUCACCAGCCGCUUCAGGGAUCCUGUCACUGCCCUAAAAACGAAUUGUACCGAAGAGCAUAUAAAGGUUUCUAAGUCUUUGCUGAACAUGACCUAUUAUAAAAUGUCAAGCCCAUCUCUAACAAUGUGAUUAAAGUACCUAACAAUA